Long non-coding RNA from Octodon degus (degu), 268 nucleotides. RefSeq lists it as uncharacterized. The record is from RefSeq and is a predicted model, not a curated record. The transcript has 3 exons. Lineage: Eukaryota; Metazoa; Chordata; Mammalia; Rodentia; Octodontidae.
GGAGGGCUUUUCGGAGCGCUAGGAAAAUGAUUACCCCGAGAAAACAAGCAGGAGAAAAACCAAGGGAGAGACAAAGAAGCCAGAAACAGAAGAGGGUAAGCCGAGGAAGACUGGCUGGGGAAAGUGCGGAAGGACCUUGAAAAUGCAGAGGCUGAAGAAGAGGGUCCCUGAUGGUUCAAUCACAAGUCUCUCCUGCUCCACUAAGUUUCUGAUUGGCUAAGGCUGGGAGGAGAUCAAGUCAUAGCCAAAUUAAUCUUUUUGUUGGUGA